UACGUAGGGGGCAAGCGUUGUCCGGAUUUAUUGGGCGUAAAGAGCUCGUAGGUGGUUCGGUAAGUUGGAUGUGAAAUCUCCAGGCUCAACCUGGAGGGGUCAUUCGAUACUGCCGUGACUAGAGUUCGGUAGGGGAGUGUGGAAUUCCUGGUGGAGCGGUGAAAUGCGCAGAUAUCAGGAGGAACACCCGUAGCGAAGGCGGCACUCUGGGCCGAUACUGACACUGAGGAGCGAAAGCGUGGGGAGCGAACAGG
RNAcentral lists this ribosomal RNA (254 nucleotides) under uncultured bacterium. RNAcentral's name for it is "partial 16S ribosomal RNA". It matches the Rfam family "Bacterial small subunit ribosomal RNA", at positions 524 to 776 of the family's 1533-position model. The record is from RNAcentral.